This 72-nucleotide transfer RNA is filed under the name Ailuropoda melanoleuca (giant panda). It matches the Rfam family "tRNA". Rfam says of the family: Transfer RNA (tRNA) molecules are approximately 80 nucleotides in length. Their secondary structure includes four short double-helical elements and three loops (D, anti-codon, and T loops). Further hydrogen bonds mediate the characteristic L-shaped molecular structure. tRNAs have two regions of fundamental functional importance: the anti-codon, which is responsible for specific mRNA codon recognition, and the 3' end, to which the tRNAs corresponding amino acid is attached (by aminoacyl-tRNA synthetases). tRNAs cope with the degeneracy of the genetic code in two manners: having more than one tRNA (with a specific anti-codon) for a particular amino acid; and 'wobble' base-pairing, i.e. permitting non-standard base-pairing at the 3rd anti-codon position. Lineage: Eukaryota; Metazoa; Chordata; Mammalia; Carnivora; Ursidae. The record is from Rfam by way of RNAcentral.
GCCCGGCUGGCUCAGUUGGAGGAGCAUGCAACUCUUGAUCUCUGGUUGUGGGUUCAAGCCCCAUGUUGGGUG